AUUUGCUUCAAUCAAGUCCCUUCCGUUAAAUCCACAUAAACGGAGAGAAAAAAAAAAUUAACGUCCGUUUAUGUGGAUUUAAUGGAAGGGACUUGAUUGAAGCAAAUUU
This 109-nucleotide microRNA precursor is filed under the name Vigna angularis (adzuki bean). RNAcentral's name for it is "pre miRNA MIR403". The record is from RNAcentral. Lineage: Eukaryota; Viridiplantae; Streptophyta; Magnoliopsida; Fabales; Fabaceae.